RNAcentral lists this ribosomal RNA (429 nucleotides) under Gemmatimonadota bacterium. RNAcentral's name for it is "Gemmatimonadetes bacterium partial 16S ribosomal RNA". It matches the Rfam family "Bacterial small subunit ribosomal RNA", at positions 355 to 776 of the family's 1533-position model. The record is from RNAcentral. Lineage: Bacteria; Pseudomonadati; Gemmatimonadota.
UAGGGAAUCUUCGGCAAUGGACGAAAGUCUGACCGAGCAACGCCGCGUGAGUGAAGAAGGUUUUCGGAUCGUAAAACUCUGUUGUUAGAGAAGAACAAGGACGUUAGUAACUGAACGUCCCCUGACGGUAUCUAACCAGAAAGCCACGGCUAACUACGUGCCAGCAGCCGCGGUAAUACGUAGGUGGCAAGCGUUGUCCGGAUUUAUUGGGCGUAAAGCGAGCGCAGGCGGUUUCUUAAGUCUGAUGUGAAAGCCCCCGGCUCAACCGGGGAGGGUCAUUGGAAACUGGGAGACUUGAGUGCAGAAGAGGAGAGUGGAAUUCCAGGUGUAGCGGUGAAAUGCGUAGAUAUAUGGAGGAACACCAGUAGCGAAGGCGGCUCUCUGGUCUGUAACUGACGCUGAGGCUCGAAAGCGUGGGGAGCAAACAGG